RNAcentral lists this ribosomal RNA (453 nucleotides) under uncultured bacterium. Its description in RNAcentral is "bacterial SSU rRNA". It matches the Rfam family "Bacterial small subunit ribosomal RNA", at positions 340 to 786 of the family's 1533-position model. The record is from RNAcentral.
UACGGAAGGUAGCAGUGGGGAAUAUUGCACAAUGGGCGCAAGCCUGAUGCAGCCAUGCCGCGUGUAUGAAGAAGGCCUUCGGGUUGUAAAGUACUUUCAGUCGUGAGGAAGGUGUUAAGGUUAAUAACCUUAGCAAUUGACGUUAGCGACAGAAGAAGCACCGGCUAACUCCGUGCCAGCAGCCGCGGUAAUACGGAGGGUGCGAGCGUUAAUCGGAAUUACUGGGCGUAAAGGGCACGCAGGCGGUUAAUUAAGUUGGAUGUGAAAUCCCCGGGCUUAACCUGGGAAUGGCAUUCAAGACUGGUUAGCUAGAGUCUUGUAGAGGGGGUAGAAUUCCAUGUGUAGCGGUGAAAUGCGUAGAGAUGUGGAGGAAUACCGGUGGCGAAGGCGGCCCCUGGACAAAGACUGACGCUCAUGUGCGAAAGCGUGGGGAGCAAACAGGGAUUAGAUACC